CUGGAGGAUGCUACGGAGCUCGGAAUUAAAUGAGGGGCUCCUUGGGUGGUUUGGAGUGGACGGGGAGCCGGGCGGGAUCACCCUAGGGAAAGGAGGAAAGCCCACCGGCCUUCGGGCAGUGAACAGCACAGCUCACCUGACUACUGAGCGACGUGGCCGAGGAGUGUCUAGUUCAUCAAUUGGACAAACAUUUAUUGAAGAGCUGGAGUUCUGUGACCACAUUUUCUGAACUCUUAAGUCAUGAUAUGUGAGAUAAAGAAUGUUUUGGAUAUUCAGAUGAUAUGGAUCUUCUUUUUCCUUAAAUCUCAAGUGAAAUGAGACAAGAACUGUAUAUCCAGGCAACUGGAUUCUUCCUCUUGCAUUUCUCGAAUUGCUGGGUCCCCCGUGUGUAGACAAGACGAAACACUGCAAACAGCGGCGCCACGCCAAGGAAAGACACCGAGGGCGGCGCAGCACGUUGGGGAUCCCCUUAGAGAAGGGCGGGAAGGCACCCUGCCGGAAGGCUGACAAGCUGGAGGCGAUCACACGCGCACCCGGAUGCCUCAGGUUCCCCAACUCACGGCCCUUCGCCCUACAGAGCUCAUUUGUUUCUUAACUUGAAUUGCCUUGCGGCUCAUCUAAGACACAGAAAAUGAAAUAUGAUCAGCCAGGGAGCAGAAAAGAAAAUUCUUUUCAUCUUAGGCAGGCAGAGUUUUAAGAUUUGCGUUCUAGUUUUAGUUCAAAUUGCCCCUAUAAUUCUACUGUUUUCACCUGACUGUUGCACUAUUUUGUAUGUCUUUGUCUCACUGUAUUGGCAUCUGUUUAAUUGAAUCACAAACAGUAAAGAGCAAAUAGACAAAGAGAAUGAAACAACAGUAGAAUUUAGAAGUUAAAUAAAACACACAUUCAAUUUUACCUCUUUCCAGAGGAGCCUAUAUCAGCUCUAAGUCCUACUGCCUGAGACUGAAGUGAAAAUUGUGUCUACCAUUUGCCUUGGCCAGUAUACUUACUGGACCGAAACAUUCCUGUGAGAAAAGAUUGUGUUGUGUUUGUGUGUGUGUAUGCGUGUGUGCGUGUGUGUAUUUGCAUGGGCCAAAUACAUUUCUUAUGUCAAUAAUAAUAAUAAAGUAAACAUGCCAAGUUC
Molecule: long non-coding RNA, 1123 nt
Organism: Carlito syrichta (Philippine tarsier)
Lineage: Eukaryota; Metazoa; Chordata; Mammalia; Primates; Tarsiidae
Exons: 4
Source: RefSeq, a predicted model, not a curated record